GGAUGAACGGGUUCCUGUACUGGGAGAAGCCAAGUACCAUUGACGUCGUAACUCGGGAAGAGGAGAGAAGGGGAUGGAGGCAUUGGUCAGGAUGCCGUACGAAGCGGCGGUGCGGAUGGCGGUGGCGUCGCUGGAGCGCAACCUCCUCCCGGACGCGGUGGUCCGGCGUCUCACGCGCUUGCUCCUCGCCAGCCGCCUCCGCUCUAGCUACCUCCCCUCCGCCGACCUCCAACUCGCCCGCCUCCUCGACUUCAAAUGCUGUAAGCCGCCACUUAUCUCAAAUUCUCUUCUUCGAUUGUAAUCCACUUCUUUAACC
RNAcentral lists this long non-coding RNA (316 nucleotides) under Phoenix dactylifera (date palm). RNAcentral describes it as "long non-coding RNA (PDAC_LNC017500)". The record is from RNAcentral. Lineage: Eukaryota; Viridiplantae; Streptophyta; Magnoliopsida; Arecales; Arecaceae.